RNAcentral lists this ribosomal RNA (430 nucleotides) under Daphnia galeata. RNAcentral describes it as "partial 12S ribosomal RNA". The record is from RNAcentral. Lineage: Eukaryota; Metazoa; Arthropoda; Branchiopoda; Diplostraca; Daphniidae.
UUCAAUUUUUGAAGUUUCUCUAGCUUUUUUGUUGGGUGAAAUCAGUAUAAGAAGCUCUUUCUUCUUUAAAAAUUAGUAGGAACUAAAAAACUUUGACUUAAAACCAGGAUUAGAUACCCUGUUAUUCUCAGUUAUUCUUAAACAGGGUAGUAAAAGUUGUUCUUCAAACCCAAAGAUUUUGGCGGCACUUUAUCCAAAUAGAGGAGCUUGUCCCUUAAUCGAUAGUCCUCGUUUUAUCUUUCCUUCAUUUGUAAAGCUUGUAUACCGCCGUUGUCAGAUUACUUUUAGAGAAUGUUUUCAAGUUAAAAGACUUUAUAACUUCAGGUCAAGGUGCAGUUUAUAUGGGGGUGGAGGUGAGCUACAGUUUUCUUUAGAAAAUACGGAUUCUAAGCUUUGAAGCUAGCUGAAGGUGGAUUUACUAGUAAAGUAA